RNAcentral lists this ribosomal RNA (489 nucleotides) under uncultured bacterium. Its description in RNAcentral is "partial 16S ribosomal RNA". It matches the Rfam family "Bacterial small subunit ribosomal RNA", at positions 29 to 507 of the family's 1533-position model. The record is from RNAcentral.
AGUGAACGCUGGCGGUAGGCCUAACACAUGCAAGUCGAACGGCAGCACAGGAGAGCUUGCUCUCUGGGUGGCGAGUGGCGGACGGGUGAGGAAUACAUCGGAAUCUACCUUUUCGUGGGGGAUAACGUAGGGAAACUUACGCUAAUACCCCUUCGAACCACGGGGGGAAGGUGGGGGACGGAAGGCCUCACGCGGUUUAAUGAGCCGAUGUCCGAUUAGCUAGUUGGCGGGGUAAUGGCCCACCAAGGCGACGAUCGGUAGCUGGUCUGAGAGGAUGAUCAGCCACACUGGAACUGAGACACGGUCCAGACUCCUACGGGAGGCAGCAGUGGGGAAUAUUGGACAAUGGGCGCAAGCCUGAUCCAGCCAUACCGCGUGGGUGAAGAAGGCCUUCGGGUUGUAAAGCCCUUUUGUUGGGAAAGAAAUCCUGUCGAUUAAUACUCGGUGGGGAUGACGGUACCCAAAGAAUAAGCACCGGCUAACUUCGUG